This 253-nucleotide ribosomal RNA is filed under the name uncultured bacterium. Its description in RNAcentral is "partial 16S ribosomal RNA". It matches the Rfam family "Bacterial small subunit ribosomal RNA", at positions 524 to 776 of the family's 1533-position model. The record is from RNAcentral.
UACGUAGGGACCGAGCGUUGUCCGGAUUCAUUGGGCGUAAAGAGCUCGUAGGCGGCCACUCAAGUCGAAUGUGAAACCUCGAGGCUCAACCUCGAGCCUGCAUUCGAUACUGGGCGGCUAGAGUCUGGUAGGGGGAUCUGGAAUUCCUGGUGUAGCGGUGGAAUGCGCAGAUAUCAGCAGGAACACCCGUGGCGAAGGCGGCUUCCUGGAUCACCCCUGACGCUGAGACGUGAAAGCGUGGGGAGCGAACGGG